AGAGAAUUCUGAAUGAUCAACUGCAAGUGAUAUGACUUAUUUAAGUGUUUAGGUGUGGAUGCAAGGAGGUUGAAACAUAAACAGAAGAGAAUUCAAAACAUUUCCAGUGAAAGUGCAAGAAAAUAUUAAAGCACUGGCUAUUCUAAGGACAUUUUAUAUUCAUAAGACCGCCUGGAGAGCUCCCUAGUCCCUUCUGCCAUGUAAAGACACAGGAAGAAGAUGGUCAUCUAUAUAUCAGAAAGUAAGCUCUCACCAGACACCAGCUCUGCUUUGAUCUUUAACUUUGUUGCCUUGA
Mustela erminea (ermine) is the source of this 295-nucleotide long non-coding RNA. RefSeq lists it as uncharacterized. The transcript is spliced from 3 exons. Lineage: Eukaryota; Metazoa; Chordata; Mammalia; Carnivora; Mustelidae. The record is from RefSeq and is a predicted model, not a curated record.